This 468-nucleotide ribosomal RNA is filed under the name uncultured bacterium. Its description in RNAcentral is "partial 16S ribosomal RNA". It matches the Rfam family "Bacterial small subunit ribosomal RNA", at positions 28 to 507 of the family's 1533-position model. The record is from RNAcentral.
GACGAACGCUGGCGGCGUGCUUAACACAUGCAAGUCGAACGAUAAAGCCCAGCUUUCUUGGUGGGUUAGUGUCGCACGGGUGAGUAACACGUGAGCAACAUGCCCGAUACUCUUGAAUAACUCCCCAGAACGGUGGCGAAUACUCCGGAUAUGCCAGCGUGCCAUCUCCUCUGGGUUGGAAAGUUUUUCCGGUUCGGGAUGGCCUCACGGCUUAUCAGCUUGUUGGUGGGGUAUUGGCUUACCAAGGCGCUGACGGGUAGCCGGCCUGAGAGGGUGACCGGCCACACUGGGACUGAGAUACGGCCCAGACUCCUACGGGAGGCAGCAGUGGGGAAUAUUGCACAAUGGGCGGAAGCCUGAUGCAGCAACGCCGCGUGAGGGAUGACGGCCUUCGGGUUGUAAACCUCUUUUAGCAGGGAAGAAGCGCAAGUGACGGUAACUGGAGAAAAAGCACCGGCUAACUACGUG